UACUAGGUGAACCUGCGGAAGGAUCAUUG
RNAcentral lists this ribosomal RNA (29 nucleotides) under Angelica decursiva. RNAcentral describes it as "partial 18S ribosomal RNA". Lineage: Eukaryota; Viridiplantae; Streptophyta; Magnoliopsida; Apiales; Apiaceae. The record is from RNAcentral.